Molecule: ribosomal RNA, 496 nt
Filed under: uncultured bacterium
Lineage: Bacteria
Description: partial 16S ribosomal RNA
Rfam family: Bacterial small subunit ribosomal RNA
Source: RNAcentral
GAUGAACGCUGGCGGCGUGCCUAAUACAUGCAAGUCGAGCGAACAGACGAGGAGCUUGCUCCUCUGACGUUAGCGGCGGACGGGUGAGUAACACGUGGAUAACCUACCUAUAAGACUGGGAUAACUUCGGGAAACCGGAGCUAAUACCGGAUAAUAUAUUGAACCGCAUGGUUCAAUAGUGAAAGACGGUUUUGCUGUCACUUAUAGAUGGAUCCGCGCCGCAUUAGCUAGUUGGUAAGGUAACGGCUUACCAAGGCAACGAUGCGUAGCCGACCUGAGAGGGUGAUCGGCCACACUGGAACUGAGACACGGUCCAGACUCCUACGGGAGGCAGCAGUAGGGAAUCUUCCGCAAUGGGCGAAAGCCUGACGGAGCAACGCCGCGUGAGUGAUGAAGGUCUUCGGAUCGUAAAACUCUGUUAUUAGGGAAGAACAAAUGUGUAAGUAACUAUGCACGUCUUGACGGUACCUAAUCAGAAAGCCACAGCUAACUACGU